GAGAUCGAACGUUAAAAAGCUGUCCUCGCUGAGGAGAGACAUCUGUGAGCUCCAGCGAACCUUUGUCACCAAAGGUUACCUGGUGGAAAACCGCGAGCGUAGAUAGUUAUCACACUCGUGAUGCCACCAAACACUGGGAGGCUGAUUCAUUUGAGAGGAGCCGACCACAGGCCAGCAAAACCCCCAAGGUCCAAGCUCAUCACGGCAAACCAUGAGAGUUGAGGUGUUCAUGAUACUCAAACAGGCAUGCCCCUCGGAAUAUCCAAGGGGCGCAAGGUGCGUUCAAAGAUUCGAUGAUUCACUGAAUUCUGCAAUUCACAUUACUUAUCGCAUUUCGCUGCGUUCUUCAUCGAUGCGAGAGCCAAGAGAUCCGUUGCUGAAAGUUGUAUUGUGUUGCGUUAGACGCGGCAUACAUUCCAUAAGACUUUAUCACAGUGUGUGUGUGUAAAGACGUAGAACUACGGAAGGAAGACAGGGUCCCCCAGACCGUAAAACUACAGAGGGUGCACAGGUGUGAGUGGAUGUGUAAACAGAGCGUGCACAUGCCCCCGUUCGAGGACCAGCAACAGCCCGUUUGACAAUUCAGUAAUGAUCCUUCC
RNAcentral lists this unclassified non-coding RNA (599 nucleotides) under uncultured fungus. RNAcentral describes it as "sequence contains ITS1, 5.8S rRNA gene, ITS2 and 28S rRNA gene". Lineage: Eukaryota; Fungi. The record is from RNAcentral.